RNAcentral lists this unclassified non-coding RNA (426 nucleotides) under fungal sp. RNAcentral's name for it is "partial internal transcribed spacer region". The stretch from base 1 to 46 matches the Rfam family "Eukaryotic small subunit ribosomal RNA", at positions 1786 to 1831 of the family's 1831-position model. The record is from RNAcentral. Lineage: Eukaryota; Fungi.
AAGUCGUAACAAGGUCUCCGUAGGUGAACCUGCGGAGGGAUCAUUAACACGUUUCCAUAACGUUUUAUUACUACCAACCAACCGCGUGAUAUAAUCGAAUCAAUUUCAAUCGACCUGUCUGAAUUAACAAUCUGCUUGGAAUGCACGAAGUGAUGAGUAUGUUUUAAACGACAUACGGUGUCUCUAAGCUAGUAUGGCAGUUACUUGUGACUGACUUUACACGAUUUUAAUUCUCUCGGGCUAAUAAAACUAUUUUAUUUUAGUUCCUUUCAUCGCUGGAACUAUACAAACCCCUUUCACCACUCUAAUGAAUCGACUGAUAUUGCUAUAAAUAAUAUAUAAUAUUAAUUUGUUAUGUUUAUCUAUUGCAAACUUUAUUAAUCAAAUAUCUAAGCACAACUCUUAGCAACGGAUAUCUUGGUUCUC